CCUACGGGAGGCAGCAGUAGGGAAUCUUUCACAAUGGGCGAAAGCCUGAUGGAGCAACGCCGCGUGCAGGAUGAAGGCCUUCGGGUUGUAAACUGCUUUUAUAAGCGAGAAAUAUGAUGGUAACUUAUGGAUAAGGAUCGGCUAACUACGUGCCAGCAGCCGCGGUCAUACGUAGGAUCCGAGCAUUAUCCGGAGUGACUGGGUGUAAAGAGGUGCGUAGGUGGCAUAAUAAGUAGCUAGUGAAAUCUGGUGGCUCAACCAUUCAGACUAUUAGCUAAACUGUUAAGCUCGAGACCGUUAGGGGUAACUGGAAUUUCUAGUGUAGGAGUGAAAUCCGUAGAUAUUAGAAGGAACACCAAUAGCGUAGGCAGGUUACUGGGACGGUUCUGACACUAAGGCACGAAAGCGUAGGGAGCAAACGGGAUUAGAUACCCUAGUAGUC
RNAcentral lists this ribosomal RNA (442 nucleotides) under uncultured bacterium. RNAcentral describes it as "partial 16S ribosomal RNA". It matches the Rfam family "Bacterial small subunit ribosomal RNA", at positions 338 to 795 of the family's 1533-position model. The record is from RNAcentral.